Molecule: ribosomal RNA, 728 nt
Filed under: uncultured Serratia sp.
Lineage: Bacteria; Pseudomonadati; Pseudomonadota; Gammaproteobacteria; Enterobacterales; Yersiniaceae
Description: bacterial SSU rRNA
Rfam family: Bacterial small subunit ribosomal RNA
Source: RNAcentral
UCGAGCGGUAGCACAAGAGAGCUUGCUCUCUGGGUGACGAGCGGCGGACGGGUGAGUAAUGUCUGGGAAACUGCCUGAUGGAGGGGGAUAACUACUGGAAACGGUAGCUAAUACCGCAUAACGUCGCAAGACCAAAGAGGGGGACCUUCGGGCCUCUUGCCAUCAGAUGUGCCCAGAUGGGAUUAGCUAGUAGGUGGGGUAAUGGCUCACCUAGGCGACGAUCCCUAGCUGGUCUGAGAGGAUGACCAGCCACACUGGAACUGAGACACGGUCCAGACUCCUACGGGAGGCAGCAGUGGGGAAUAUUGCACAAUGGGCGCAAGCCUGAUGCAGCCAUGCCGCGUGUGUGAAGAAGGCCUUCGGGUUGUAAAGCACUUUCAGCGAGGAGGAAGGUGGUGAACUUAAUACGUUCAUCAAUUGACGUUACUCGCAGAAGAAGCACCGGCUAACUCCGUGCCAGCAGCCGCGGUAAUACGGAGGGUGCAAGCGUUAAUCGGAAUUACUGGGCGUAAAGCGCACGCAGGCGGUUUGUUAAGUCAGAUGUGAAAUCCCCGGGCUCAACCUGGGAACUGCAUUUGAAACUGGCAAGCUAGAGUCUCGUAGAGGGGGGUAGAAUUCCAGGUGUAGCGGUGAAAUGCGUAGAGAUCUGGAGGAAUACCGGUGGCGAAGGCGGCCCCCUGGACGAAGACUGACGCUCAGGUGCGAAAGCGUGGGGAGCAAACAGGAUU